This 421-nucleotide ribosomal RNA is filed under the name uncultured bacterium. RNAcentral's name for it is "bacterial SSU rRNA". It matches the Rfam family "Bacterial small subunit ribosomal RNA", at positions 362 to 774 of the family's 1533-position model. The record is from RNAcentral.
UUGUUCGCAAUGGGCGCAAGCCUGACGACGCAACGCCGCGUGGAGGAUGAAGAAUUUCGGUUCGUAAACUCCUGUCGAGCGGGACGAAAGAUCCGCCGGUUAAUACCCGGUGGAAGUGACGGUACCGCUAAAGGAAGCCCCGGCUAACUCCGUGCCAGCAGCCGCGGUAAUACGGGGGGGGCAAGCGUUGUUCGGAAUUACUGGGCGUAAAGGGCUCGUAGGCGGCCAAUUAAGUCACACGUGAAAUCCCACGGCUCAACCGUGGAACUGCGUGUGAGACUGGAUGGCUUGAGUUUGGGAGAGGAAUGCGGAAUUCCAGGUGUAGCGGUGAAAUGCGUAGAUAUCUGGAGGAACACCGGUGGCGAAGGCGGCAUUCUGGACCAACACUGACGCUGAGGAGCGAAAGCCAGGGGAGCAAACG